AUGGAAGGGUUGUAUCGAUGGACUGAACUGCAGAAUGCAAGAACAGAGGGGGAAAGCCUAGCCUAUCAAAGACUAGCAUCUUCACACAGCUCCGAGCAUCUUGCAGCAUGUAGAAGAGUAAAGAAUAGCAGUUUAUAAUUAACAAGCAUGUUGUAGCAUUAACGCCCAGAGAUCCUUCCUCGACUCCCUGCGAGAAAGCAAUCCCGGAGCCACAUAUCCAUCACAUAUCAAGUAUCCAUUUCUAGUUGUAUAAGAUCAGGAUACAAGUCUGAACGUCCAUUACCGUGGACACGGUAUUCGAAUAUAUGUCUUCCCUGCAGGGGUGCACCACAUUACCCAACACGCCCGAUCACUCUGGCCGGACACACCUUUCUAGGGUCAAUGCCCGCCCUCGGAAAAUCAACACGUCGCGGCCCUACCUAGGCUCAGCAGAGAGGUCCCCGCCGGUCUACAUCCUAAGCACUCCGGGGUCUUGGGCCCAUCGCCCGCAGCACUCCGGGUCGUUGUGUGCAGGGUGGAUACCAGCACCGCCUCGGAUGGCCAGCACGAUCCAACCGUGCCACAAUGCUGAACUGGACGCCUGACAAAGCUUCGGCUGAUACUGCGACUUCGAGGCCCAUAACUAUUCUCGCGUGGUGGUUAGUGCGUAAAGGCCAAAGGCCAACUCAAAACAAAUACCCAAACAUGUUAGUACAUUAUUAAAAGGAGUGACGGCUGUCGGGACAAGUCCGGAGCUAUCACCCCUUCCCGGGUGAUACCGCUAAACAGCCAGCCGCCACUGUCACAUCGCACGGGUGCUCUCCGGGCCCUCCCGGCUAUCACAACGGUCUCCAGUAAAGUCAAGAUAACUGUGUGUCCAGACAUCAAGGGGAAAACCCGAGGAAUCACCCCCGAAGGAUUCCACUCAAUGUAAUCAUCAAGGUGAACGUAAGAGGGACCACCCUCGAGGUUCACACUUGAGGUGUUAAAGGACAGAGCCGUAUCGGGAAUGGUGAAAGAGGAAAUCACCCUCGAUGACCACGAUCGAAUAGCUACACUACAGAAUUAUCAUCAGGAGUGCGUUAUGAGGGAUCACCCUCGACACUCGAUAGUAGCUCUGCAGAGUCGAGCAACUAAAGGGGCGUGAUGUGAGGUGAGGUGUCAGGCUCUGGUCGUCGAUCAUGUCGAUCGAGGCGUGGAUGAUGAAGCAAGGGCAACAAGGAGAAGUAGGGGUCACUGAUGGAACACUAGCCAACCUAUACUAAGCAGUUUAGGAUAAGCAGGUAGGUAACAAUAAGCAGGUACAAAAGCAAGCUAUGCAUCAGAAUAGGAGCAAUCAAAUACAGUAGCAAAAUCUAAUGCAAGCAUGAGAGUAUAGAAUGGACGAUAUCGGGAUGAUCAAAGGGGGGGGGGGCUGCCUGGUUGCUCAGGCGAGAAGGAGGGGUCGUCGUCGACGUAGUCGAUCACAGGGGCAUCAGCUGCGGCCUCGGGGUCUACCGGGAAGAAGAGGGGGGAAGAAACAGUAAUUAUAGAGCAAGCAAGAGCAUAACAGGACAACAGGCAGAGCUAGACGUGUUCUAACGCGGUGCUACACGAUACGGACAAAGGGGAAUAACAUCCGGGAAAGUUUCCCGAAGUUAGGCAUUUUCGGACAGAUGAAACGGAGGAGAAAAGUUGCAUGUUCAGGUAGUUAGGGGCACGUGGCAGACGAACAGCUCGCUUAUUUAGAUUCGUCUCGUCGUUCUGAGCAACUUUCAUGUAGAAAACUUUUUCGUCCGCGUUACGGAUUAAUUUAUAUGAUAUUCCAAAUAUUUAAACAAUAUUCUAAAAUUAUUAUUAAUUCGGGAUAAAAGGUGAAAUUGCUAUGUGCACCCGGCAGAGUGUACACAGCAGGGCCACUCGAGGCUGACAGUGCGUCCAGGGGGUCCCAGUUGACUCAGUCAACAGUGCAGUCAACAGUCAACAGUUUAACUGGUCAAAAUUGUAGAUGGAGCCUAGAUGUCAUUCACACAUAUCUUGCAUUUUCUUUUUAAGUGGAUAUUUAGAGGGGGGAUCCACCUGUCAUUUGCACUAUACCUAACCACUGAUUAGACUAACAAGUAGGAGUACUAAUUAGCUAACGGAGAGUCGGCCGGCCACCACACACACAGAAUACACAGACGCACACACAGUUCUGUUUUCUGCUAACAAAAGAUAGCAUUUUGUGAUUUUCAUAGGAUUUAUUCCAUGCAUCAAAUGGAUUUGGUCCAGUGGACACAUUUAAGCAUUGUCAAGUGUACUUUCUACUAAUAUUAUUUUUAGCCUUGUUAACAGUUGUUUAACCAAAGUUUAGGGGCUGUUUAGGGGGUUACUCAAUGUAAAAACUAAAAAGCUAGCUAGUAGCUACAGUUGCUAUCAUCAGUUAGCAUCAGUAGCAGUAGACGAGUAGCAAGCGGCAGCAGCAGUGGGCAACCAGAAGCAGUAGGCGCUGGUAGCAGCAGGCACGCACGCCGGCGCGUGCGCACGCGCAAGGCACGACCAGCGCGGGGAGCAGCGAGUAGCGCCGGGCUUGCAGGGGAGCGUGCGUGCUCGUAAUUGGAGGCGCGGGCGGACGAGCAGGGCUGUGGCCCGGGCAUAGUAGGGGAUCCCGGCGAGCGCGUACAGGGGAGGAACGGGCGCGCGGAGCUUCGGGCGAGUUGGUCGCAGCAUCCUACGGCGUCAAAUCGAAGAGGAGAAGGGGAGUUUGGACGUGGUGCUCACCUAGGAGCACACGGAGGCUCGGCGGGAGGUUUAGGAGCAGCAGGCGGUCGAAGUGGAGGAAGCCCGCCGUCGUAGUAGAGGAGGCAGACGGCGCGGUGGCGUUCCGAGGUGGUCGAAGGGGUCGGGGCGGUGCUGCGGGGCCGUCCCGGUCCGAUCUCGUCUAGGAGGAGGAGGAAGGCGUCCGCGAUGGAGCUGUCGGACAGCUCAGAACGGAGAGGGGAGGCUGGUGGCUGCGUCCAUGGCGACGGCGAGCCCUCGGGACGGCGUCGGCGUCGAGGCGCCGCGGAUGGAGCGGAUCUGGCGAGAGGGGGGGAGGAGGAACCGAGGAGGAGAGGGGGAAGUGGAG
Molecule: long non-coding RNA, 3064 nt
Filed under: Triticum aestivum (bread wheat)
Lineage: Eukaryota; Viridiplantae; Streptophyta; Magnoliopsida; Poales; Poaceae
Description: long non-coding RNA (TAES_LNC016132)
Source: RNAcentral